This 1407-nucleotide ribosomal RNA is filed under the name Salmonella enterica. Its description in RNAcentral is "partial 23S ribosomal RNA". It matches the Rfam family "Bacterial large subunit ribosomal RNA", at positions 1542 to 2925 of the family's 2925-position model. Lineage: Bacteria; Pseudomonadati; Pseudomonadota; Gammaproteobacteria; Enterobacterales; Enterobacteriaceae. The record is from RNAcentral.
GGUUCACUUUAACACUGAGGCGUGAUGACGAGGCACCACGGUGCUGAAGCAACAAAUGCCCUGCUUCCAGGAAAAGCCUCUAAGCAUCAGGUAACAUCAAAUCGUACCCCAAACCGACACAGGUGGUCAGGUAGAGAAUACCAAGGCGCUUGAGAGAACUCGGGUGAAGGAACUAGGCAAAAUGGUGCCGUAACUUCGGGAGAAGGCACGCUGACACGUAGGUGAAGUGAUUUACUCAUGGAGCUGAAGUCAGUCGAAGAUACCAGCUGGCUGCAACUGUUUAUUAAAAACACAGCACUGUGCAAACACGAAAGUGGACGUAUACGGUGUGACGCCUGCCCGGUGCCGGAAGGUUAAUUGAUGGGGUCAGCGCAAGCGAAGCUCCUGAUCGAAGCCCCGGUAAACGGCGGCCGUAACUAUAACGGUCCUAAGGUAGCGAAAUUCCUUGUCGGGUAAGUUCCGACCUGCACGAAUGGCGUAAUGAUGGCCAGGCUGUCUCCACCCGAGACUCAGUGAAAUUGAACUCGCUGUGAAGAUGCAGUGUACCCGCGGCAAGACGGAAAGACCCCGUGAACCUUUACUAUAGCUUGACACUGAACAUUGAGCCUUGAUGUGUAGGAUAGGUGGGAGGCUUUGAAGCGUGGACGCCAGUCUGCGUGGAGCCGACCUUGAAAUACCACCCUUUAAUGUUUGAUGUUCUAACGUGGACCCGUAAUCCGGGUUGCGGACAGUGUCUGGUGGGUAGUUUGACUGGGGCGGUCUCCUCCUAAAGAGUAACGGAGGAGCACGAAGGUUGGCUAAUCCUGGUCGGACAUCAGGAGGUUAGUGCAAUGGCAUAAGCCAGCUUGACUGCGAGCGUGACGGCGCGAGCAGGUGCGAAAGCAGGUCAUAGUGAUCCGGUGGUUCUGAAUGGAAGGGCCAUCGCUCAACGGAUAAAAGGUACUCCGGGGAUAACAGGCUGAUACCGCCCAAGAGUUCAUAUCGACGGCGGUGUUUGGCACCUCGAUGUCGGCUCAUCACAUCCUGGGGCUGAAGUAGGUCCCAAGGGUAUGGCUGUUCGCCAUUUAAAGUGGUACGCGAGCUGGGUUUAGAACGUCGUGAGACAGUUCGGUCCCUAUCUGCCGUGGGCGCUGGAAGACUGAGGGGGGCUGCUCCUAGUACGAGAGGACCGGAGUGGACGCAUCACUGGUGUUCGGGUUGUCAUGCCAAUGGCACUGCCCGGUAGCUAAAUGCGGAAAAGAUAAGUGCUGAAAGCAUCUAAGCACGAAACUUGCCCCGAGAUGAGUCUUCCCUGAGACUUUGAGUCUCCUGAAGGAACGUUAAAGACGAUGACGUUGAUAGGCCGGGUGUGUAAGCGCAGCGAUGCGUUGAGCUAACCGGUACUAAUGAACCGUGAGGCUUAACCUU